RNAcentral lists this ribosomal RNA (457 nucleotides) under Cutibacterium acnes. Its description in RNAcentral is "bacterial SSU rRNA". It matches the Rfam family "Bacterial small subunit ribosomal RNA", at positions 28 to 497 of the family's 1533-position model. Lineage: Bacteria; Bacillati; Actinomycetota; Actinomycetes; Propionibacteriales; Propionibacteriaceae. The record is from RNAcentral.
GACGAACGCUGGCGGCGUGCUUAACACAUGCAAGUCGAACGGAAAGGCCCUGCUUUUGUGGGGUGCUCGAGUGGCGAACGGGUGAGUAACACGUGAGUAACCUGCCCUUGACUUUGGGAUAACUUCAGGAAACUGGGGCUAAUACCGGAUAGGAGCUCCUGCUGCAUGGUGGGGGUUGGAAAGUUUCGGCGGUUGGGGAUGGACUCGCGGCUUAUCAGCUUGUUGGUGGGGUAGUGGCUUACCAAGGCUUUGACGGGUAGCCGGCCUGAGAGGGUGACCGGCCACAUUGGGACUGAGAUACGGCCCAGACUCCUACGGGAGGCAGCAGUGGGGAAUAUUGCACAAUGGGCGGAAGCCUGAUGCAGCAACGCCGCGUGCGGGAUGACGGCCUUCGGGUUGUAAACCGCUUUCGCCUGUGACGAAGCGUGAGUGACGGUAAUGUAAAAGAAGCCCCGCA